CUUGUGUACUGCGGGAGACAUUACCGAGUGCGGGCCCCUCGGGGCCCAACCUCCCACCCGUGUUGCCCGAACCUAUGUUGCCUCGGCGGGCCCCGCGCCCGCCGACGGCCCCCCUGAACGCUGUCUGAAGUUGCAGUCUGAGACCUAUAACGAAAUUAGUUAAAACUUUCAACAACGGAUCUCUUGGUUCCGGCAUCGAUGAAGAACGCAGCGAAAUGCGAUAACUAAUGUGAAUUGCAGAAUUCAGUGAAUCAUCGAGUCUUUGAACGCACAUUGCGCCCUCUGGUAUUCCGGAGGGCAUGCCUGUCCGAGCGUCAUUGCUGCCCUCAAGCCCGGCUUGUGUGUUGGGCCCCGUCCCCCCCGCCGGGGGGACGGGCCCGAAAGGCAGCGGCGGCACCGCGUCCGGUCCUCGAGCGUAUGGGGCUUCGUCACCCGCUCUAGUAGGCCCGGCCGGCGCCAGCCGACCCCCAACCUUUAAUUAUCUCAGGUUGACCUCGGAUCAGGUAGGGAUACCCGCUGAACUUAAGCAUAUCAAUAAGCGGGAGGA
RNAcentral lists this ribosomal RNA (547 nucleotides) under Penicillium citrinum. RNAcentral's name for it is "eukaryotic LSU rRNA". The stretch from base 164 to 317 matches the Rfam family "5.8S ribosomal RNA". The record is from RNAcentral. Lineage: Eukaryota; Fungi; Ascomycota; Eurotiomycetes; Eurotiales; Aspergillaceae.